Molecule: ribosomal RNA, 465 nt
Filed under: uncultured bacterium
Lineage: Bacteria
Description: partial 16S ribosomal RNA
Rfam family: Bacterial small subunit ribosomal RNA
Source: RNAcentral
GACGAACGCUGGCGGCGUGCUUAACACAUGCAAGUCGUACGGUAAGGCCCUUUCGGGGGUACACGAGUGGCGAACGGGUGAGUAACACGUGAGUAACCUGCCCACAACUUUGGGAUAACGCUAGGAAACUGGUGCUAAUACUGGAUAUGUGCUCCUGCUGCAUGGGGGGGGUUGGAAAGCUCCGGCGGUUGUGGAUGGACUCGCGGCCUAUCAGCUUGUUGGUGGGGUAGUGGCCUACCAAGGCGGCGACGGGUAGCCGGCCUGAGAGGGUGACCGGCCACAUUGGGACUGAGAUACGGCCCAGACUCCUACGGGAGGCAGCAGGGGGGAAUAUUGCACAAUGGGCGCAAGCCUGAUGCAGCAACGCCGCGUGCGGGAUGACGGCCUUCGGGUUGUAAACCGCUUUCAGCAGGGACGAAGCUUUUUGUGACGGUACCUGCAGAAGAAGCACCGGCUAACUACGUG